Molecule: ribosomal RNA, 320 nt
Filed under: uncultured Prevotella sp.
Lineage: Bacteria; Pseudomonadati; Bacteroidota; Bacteroidia; Bacteroidales; Prevotellaceae
Description: bacterial SSU rRNA
Rfam family: Bacterial small subunit ribosomal RNA
Source: RNAcentral
GAUGAACGCUAGCUACAGGCUUAACACAUGCAAGUCGAGGGGCAGCAUGUCGUGUGCUUGCACACGGUGAUGGCGACCGGCGCACGGGUGAGUAACGCGUAUCCAACCUUCCCUGGGGUCCGGAAUAGCCCGGUGAAAACCGGAUUAAUGCCGGAUGUCGUGCGAUGAUGGCAUCAGAGUUGCACGAAAGGCUUGCCGCCUCGGGAUGGGGAUGCGUCUGAUUAGCUUGUUGGCGGGGUAACGGCCCACCAAGGCUACGAUCAGUAGGGGUUCUGAGAGGAAGGUCCCCCACAUUGGAACUGAGACACGGUCCAAACUCC